GUGCUGGCUUUGGUAGCACAUAUACUAAAAUUGGACAAUAUAGGAUUAGCAUGGCCUUUGUGUGAAGAUGACAUGCAAAUUUAUGAAUUUUUCUGUAUUUUA
Small nuclear RNA from Dipodomys ordii (Ord's kangaroo rat), 102 nucleotides. NCBI's taxonomy places the organism in Eukaryota, Metazoa, Chordata, Mammalia, Rodentia, Heteromyidae. The record is from Ensembl.